Molecule: ribosomal RNA, 643 nt
Filed under: uncultured bacterium
Lineage: Bacteria
Description: bacterial SSU rRNA
Rfam family: Bacterial small subunit ribosomal RNA
Source: RNAcentral
CGCGGCCUAUCAGCUUGUUGGUGGGGCAGUGGCCUACCAAGGCGACGACGGGUAGCCGGCCUGAGAGGACGACCGGCCACACUGGGACUGAGACACGGCCCAGACUCCUACGGGAGGCAGCAGUGGGGAAUAUUGCGCAAUGGGCGAAAGCCUGACGCAGCGACGCCGCGUGAGGGAUGAAGGCCUUCGGGUUGUAAACCUCUUUCAGCAGGGACGAAGCGCAAGUGACGGUACCUGCAGAAGAAGCACCGGCCAACUACGUGCCAGCAGCCGCGGUAAUACGUAGGGUGCAAGCGUUGUCCGGAAUUAUUGGGCGUAAAGAGCUCGUAGGCGGCUCGUCGCGUCGGCUGUGAAAACCUGGGGCUCAACCCCGGGCCUGCAGCCGAUACGGGCGGGCUAGAAUUCGGUAGGGGAGACUGGAAUUCCUGGUGUAGCGGUGAAAUGCGCAGAUAUCAGGAGGAACACCGGUGGCGAAGGCGGGUCUCUGGGCCGAUAUUGACGCUGAGGGGCGAAAGCGCGGGGAGCGAACAGGAUUAGAUACCCUGGUAGUCCACGCCGUAAACGUUGGGAACUAGGUGUGGGCCACAUUCCACGUGGUCUGUGCCGCAGCUAACGCAUUAAGUUCCCCGCCUGGGAGUACGGA